This 744-nucleotide ribosomal RNA is filed under the name Saprolegnia sp. MNS-2014c. RNAcentral describes it as "eukaryotic LSU rRNA". The stretch from base 209 to 363 matches the Rfam family "5.8S ribosomal RNA". The record is from RNAcentral. Lineage: Eukaryota; Oomycota; Saprolegniomycetes; Saprolegniales; Saprolegniaceae.
GUUGGACAAGGUUUCCGUAGGUGAACCUGCGGAAGGAUCAUUACCACACCAAAAAACACCCCACGUGAACGUAUUCUGUAUGAGGCUUUGUGCUGCUUUUCGGAGCGGCUAGCCGAAGGUUUCGCAAGAGACCGAUGUAACUUUAAUUCCUUUUAAAAAAUGACUGAUCAAAACUGCAGACAGAAAUGUGUGCAUUCAAUUGAAAUACAACUUUCAACAGUGGAUGUCUAGGCUCGCACAUCGAUGAAGAACGCUGCGAACUGCGAUACGUAAUGCGAAUUGCAGAAUUCAGUGAGUCAUCAAAAUUUUGAACGCAUAUUGCACUGCCGGGUUAGUCCUGGCAGUAUGUUUGUAUCAGUGUCCGUUAACAACAACUUGUUUCAUUUUUGAAGCAGAGUGUGAAGCGUCUUGUUUCGGCAAGUCCUUUUAAACGACGGUACCUGUACGUCCUUGUGAGAUGUAUUAUUGAAAGGUAUUUACGAGUUCGAUUUCGAAAGUCCUGUGUGAUGGUACACAGUUUCGAGGGAAGAACGAAUUGCGGUAGUUUUGCUUGUACUUCGGUACGAGUGGACACAUAUUGCUUUUUGUGAUUUUCGAGAGAUUGUUGCUGGAAGGCAGGAUGCGAGGUCGGAGUUGUUUGUACUGGUGCAUUUCUUGAUGUAUGGAGGCAAAUUGGGAAAUCAAUCCAAUUUGGACCUGAUAUCAAACAAGACUACCCGCUGAACUUAAGCAUAUCAUAGCCGG